Molecule: long non-coding RNA, 1372 nt
Organism: Setaria italica (foxtail millet)
Lineage: Eukaryota; Viridiplantae; Streptophyta; Magnoliopsida; Poales; Poaceae
Exons: 3
Source: RefSeq, a predicted model, not a curated record
GCUACAUAUGCUGUAGCCAGCCUUCUCCUUAUAUACCACACUAGAACGGGUGCACUUGCACAAACAAGCCACUCCUCCCACCACCUUCUUCUUCUUCUUUUUUAUCAGCAGACUGCGGUGUUCCUUUCGGUCGCGAAGAAGAAGCGGCCGCAACAAUGGAUGAGCCUUUCCAGGGCGAGGACCGGAACCUGUCGGCCGUGGAUCACGUCAAGAAGCGCCAUCACGAGAAGGGCUUCUUCUAUGCCUGCGCCUUCACGCUGUGCUGCUGCUUCUGCUGCUACGAGGCCUGCGAGCACUGCCUGGAGUUCUUCUGUUGCUGCUGCAAGAAGGACGAUUAGGAUCGGUCCAGGCAUUAUUCAGCCAAUUCCGUCGUCGCGCCAUGAUCAGUUCGUUGUGGAUACGUUUCGUCUGUGAAGAAUUGUGAUCAAUCUGGAAUUGUUCAUCGAAAUAAAGCAUGCCGUGAUUGGUGUAAACUCUACGUUAACCGUAGUGAGUUCGGUGAAGCAGCUGUAAAUCUGUUAUUGGUUUGCCAUGUCAGCACGCUGGUAAUAUAUUACACCCUUGUGUAUAGAAAAGGUUGCUUGUGUUAUCGUUCUCCUACUCCCUAUUUCUUUCCUGAACUUACUGGCAUGUAGAUUUUUAUGCUUCUGCAAGGCUAGGGAUGCAGAGUUGCAGAACUCCAUCAUUCAGUGGAUGGAUCACAGAUGCGGUGGUUGGUGUGUCGUGGUCUGUUCCUGUUGCUUAUGAUGCGCUCUUGCCAUCUUCCUUGCUCAUCUGAUAUUCACAGGAAAGGAAGGAUGUCUGGUCUUUCAGCGGUUUCAGAUUAUUCAGUUCAGAACAGUUAGAUUUUACCUACGGGAGCAUAAAUCCAGAGAGAAAGCUUUAGAACCUCCAUUUCUAACGUGAUUAUUUUCCUAAAAAAAGGACAGGACAAGCAAACUGAAUCCAAUCUCGCCGUCUUGCCAAAACUUUGCCAAACAUUUACUACUGUGUGGUUUGAAUCCAACGAAAUUUGAUCAGUCCGCAUCCGUUCGUUGCAGUCGAGGCCCACUCCCACUUCCUUCUCUUCGGUAAACCCGAAAGGCCCAAAACCCAAACGGGCCAGCACCCGCCCAAACCCCUACCGAGCCGGAGUAAGCGCAAACUCCGAGGCGGCCGGCAUUGGUCCUCGUGCGCGGGCGGCGGACAGUUCCGGCGGUCGGGGUCGGGAGCAACUAGGCUCUUGCCUCUCCGGUGGCUUCUUUCGCGCCUCGCCUGCGGUGGCGGUUCCGUCUUCGUCCGGCCGGGAUGGGCUGCGCCGCUGCGGCGGCUGGCGCAAUGUGAGCUACAGCUGCAGGUGCGAAGCUGGUGAGCUGUGGCGGCUUCGCUUAUC